Molecule: ribosomal RNA, 458 nt
Filed under: uncultured microorganism
Description: bacterial SSU rRNA
Rfam family: Bacterial small subunit ribosomal RNA
Source: RNAcentral
GUGCACCAGUCGAGAAUAGUCUACAAUGGACGAAAGUCUGAUAGUGCGACGCCGUGUGUGCGAUUAAUUCCUUCGGGAUGUAAAGCACUUUUCUAUGAGAUAAAAGCUCUUUAGGUUAAUAGCUUAUUGAGACGGAUAUUAUUAUAGGAAUAAGCUCCGGCUAACUCCGUGCCAGCAGCCGCGGUAAUACGGAAGGAGCGAGCGUUGUCCGGAUUUACUAGGCGUAAAGGGCUAGUAGGCGACUAAUUAAGUUAUAUGUUAAAUCCCACGGCUCAACUGUGGUCCUGCAUGUAAUACUGGUUAGAUAGAGUACUGUAGAGGAAGGCAGAAUUCCUGGAGUAGCGGUGGAAUGCGCAGAUAUCAGGAAGAAUACCAAAAGCGAAAGGCAGCCUUCUGGGCAGUUACUGACGCUGAAUAGCGAAGGUGUGGGUAGCGAACAGGAUUAGAUACCCGUGUAG